AACCUAGCACACCUGCGGUGUGUACCUGCGGAAGGAUCAUUAUCAAGUUACAGCGGAGGCGCCCUCGGGUGUCCUCCUGUCUGCAACCCUUGUCUUUUGCGUACUGUAUGUUUCCUCGGCGGGUUCGCCCGCCGAUAGGACAUUCAUAAACCCUUCGUAGUUGCAAUCAGCGUCAGAAAAAACUAUAAUAGUUACAACUUUUAACAAUGGAUCU
This 214-nucleotide unclassified non-coding RNA is filed under the name soil metagenome. RNAcentral's name for it is "partial contains 5.8S ribosomal RNA, internal transcribed spacer 2, and large subunit ribosomal RNA". The record is from RNAcentral.